Molecule: long non-coding RNA, 3134 nt
Organism: Pseudophryne corroboree (corroboree frog)
Lineage: Eukaryota; Metazoa; Chordata; Amphibia; Anura; Myobatrachidae
Exons: 2
Source: RefSeq, a predicted model, not a curated record
GAUUCAGCCUGUGAGAGGAUAUUUGAGCUUCUCACAUUCUGUAGCUUGUUCAGCAGCUAUGUUAUGAGGAGGAGGAGGCUGCAGUAUUUGAGAGACACCACCAUUCGUCGUCGGCAAUACCUGCGCAGGAGGAGAUCGUUUAUAUCUGCUUCUGUGACCACCAUACUCAACCUUAACCUCAGUACUCAACGAAAAUUGUGGUCUAGAGAACGGCAGCAUGGGCAAGUUUUUAUGCAAAGUGUACUGAACUUUCAGGAUGUUCAGUGGAAGUGUCACUUCAGGAUGUCACGUCACACAUUCCACUAUCUUUUGGAUUUAAUGUCCCCAGCACUCUCUAGACAGACCACAAACUUCAGGUCACCAAUAGAGCCAAGCAGGAGGCUAGCUAUAGCAUUGUGGUGGUAUGCCACUCCAGGUGAAUAUCGCACAAUUGCUUGCCUGUUUGGUGUGGGUAUAUCUACCGUUUGCACCAUUGUACAUGAAGUGACCAAAGCAUUGGUGGACAACCUAUACCACAGAUUUAUAUCUCUUCCGCAAGGCCAGCGUUUGGAUGAAACAAUUGUGGGAUUUGUGGAGUCUGGAUAUCCGCAGUGUGCAGGUGCAAUUGAUGGUACCCACAUCCCUAUAAUCGCACCUCAUGAUAAUCAUGCCGACUACUACAACAGAAAGGGAUGGCAUUCCAUUGUUUUGCAAGCUGUGGUGGAUCAUAAGUAUUGGUAAUGUUCUUAUCAUUGUGUUUUCUUAAUGCUAAUUGUUUAUAAUUAAUUUACAACUUAAUAUAUAUUUUUAUAUAUUUUUAUAUAGUUUCACUGACGUAUUCAUCGGUUGGCCGGGGCGGUCACAUGACGCUCGAGUUCUUGCAAACUCUGAUCUGUACCGGGUAGCAGAGGACAAGCAAGGGGGCUACCUUUUUCCAAGAGAGAAAUCCAAAUUUGUGGACGGAGUGGAGAUCCCGGUACACAUAAUUGGUGAUGCAGCCUACCCGUUACGACGAUGGCUCAUGAAGGGGUUCACCCAACAUGUCCAGCUGAGCCCCAAUCAAAUUACAUAUACGCACACCCUGAGCUCGGCAAGAAUGGUGGUCGAAAAUGCCUUUGGACGAUUAAAAGGACGUUGGCGCUGUCUUAUGAAGCGCAAUGAUGUAGACAUUAAUAUCAUGCCUAACAUUGUUGCAGCAUGUUGUAUUCUGCAUAACCUAUGUGAGUUUCAGAGGGAGGAAUUCCUACCAGAGUGGACAGUGCAGGCCUCUGCUGCGUACCCUGCACUUGAUUGUGAGGCCUAUUUGGGCGACCAUUCUGGAAGUGCAGAACAGAUGAGGUCUGCUAUAAUGGCCAACCUUCCCUCAUUACUCCGUUAAUUUUUUUCAGUUUGUAUAUUCUGUUAAUUGUUGUUGAUACAAAAAAAAAACCUGUUUAGUUGACAUUCUGCUACUGUGUCGAUACAAAUGUACAACAUCAAUAUCCAAUUUGAAAUGGAUGUAUCAAGCAUUUUGUUUGUUUGUAAGUAAAAAUAGGACAAGUCCAAAGAUUAACAAAAGGUCAGAGACCGUAGAAUUUUAAUUUGUAUAAAACUUUGGAAAAUAAAGUAGUGCAAUCGUUACAGUAACAAGUCAAACCAGUAAUAGUGCAGUAAAAACACUCCUAUGAUUUUAAAACAAACCUUUUUUUAAAAACAAUAACUAUUUAAGUUAAAUUACGAUAAACAGGAGACUCUGUAGUUGUCUCCGUUUCAUCAGAAGGUGAUUGGGUGUGUUGAGGUUGUGUAUGUCGAGGAUGGGUAUAGUGAGUUGGAGUUAGUGGAGGUGGGGUUUGUUGGGGUUGGUUAUGGCGAGGAUGGGUAUGGUGUGGCGUUGGUUGAGGUGUGGUAUGAUUAUAGUAGGGGGGUGCAGGGUAAUAUUGGGUAUAUGGUUGAGGGUAGUUUGGUGGCACUGUGUGCAGCCCUUCAAUGCAUUGGAACAUUCGGUCAAAUAUGGACAUUUGAAAUUCCUGCAUUUCUCUCUGACGUUCUCUUGCAUCCCUAUUAUAGGUUUCCUGCAUAGAGAUCAGCUGCGUCAUAAAUGUAUUGUUCAUGUCUUGCUCUGCCUGCAGAAAUCGCUCGAGACGUGCAUCUUCUCGAUCAGCCAUAGCAGCGUCCAUCUGCUGUAAUUUUUCCACCAGGACAGUGGUCAUAAUUCUUGCAGCUUGCUCCGUUUUAUUUGGCCGGCGCCUCCUUGGCGGAACAGUAUAUACUGCAGACACAAAUCAAAUAAUAUGUUAUUGGAAUUUGCAAAGAGCUUAUAUAAAAUAGCAGUGUUUGCAAACGUGUUUUGUGGCCUCCUUCCACCUACACACUGCAUAUACUCUGCAACAUUUAUCAUUUUAAAUUGUAUGCAUUUUUUUCACAGAUUUAUUGACGUUAAUGUUUAGAGUUGUUAGUUUGUGUUUAGUUUACGUUAAUUGUUAAUGUUAGUUAUUAUGCUUUUAGGAUUGUUGUACUUACUGUUUCCACGCAAAGGCUGCGUUUGUGCAAUUAGGGCCAUUUGACUUGGCCCAGCCGCUGUGUCUUCUGGCGCAUCAGUGGUUUCAGUUCUGCUGGGCUCCUGUACAACUGGGUCAGGCAUAGUGGUUGCCAUCGGUUGCGUAUCAUCCAGUACUAGUAGUGGAGAUGGUGGUGGUGGUGAUCGGGUGUCUGGGUCCUGUGCUCGGGUGUCUGGGUCCUGUACGCUGGUGGAAGCAGCACAGGCCUGUCUUGUUUCUGCUGCUGCUAUGCUGGAGGAUAAGCUAACCGGUGUUGCAAGUGCUGUGUGGCCAAAUAUGGUGGCACACUGCUCAUAAUAUUGCCACUCCAUACGGGCAGCACCACUUCUGUUUCUGUUGUGAUCGUGGACCUUAUGGAAAUUCCUUUUAAGGGCCUUUAGCUUAUUGAUUACCUGCUGGGAGGUACGGUGGAAUCCAGAGGCUGCAAGCAUCUUCGUUAUGUUUUUGUAUGUGAUUGCAUCCUUAACAGUCCCUGUCAUUUGGUGGGUGAUUUCCGACUCCCCUCUUAUCCGUAACAGCUCCCUAACCUCAUCCUCACUCCAGUUUGCCAUAUUUUCCAAGCACUGUAGCAAUGUAGCACUGAAUGUAGAAGUAUAAAUAAAAACACACUGUUUAAAG